AUAAAUUUUAGUGUUAACUAUAAAUUAUUUUAAUAAUAAUUUAUUAUAUAUAAAUGUAGUAAUUAAUAUUAAAUUAUUUAAGAAAUUAAGAUUUAGUAAUAUUUAACUUAAUAACAAAUUUUGUGCCAGCAGUUGCGGUUAUACAAAAAUUAAAUUAAAUUUUAUUAGUGAUUAAUAAAUAAUUUAUUUAUAAUGUAAAUUUUAAAUUAUUAGGUGAAAUUUUAAUUUAAUAAAAUUUUAUAAUAAGAGUUAUGAUUUAAUAAAUUUUAUAAGAAACUAGGAUUAGAUACCCUAUUAUUAAAAUUUAAAAUUAGAAUACUAAAAUAGUAAAUAAUUAUUUAUUGAAACUUAAAUAAUUUGGCGGUAUUUUAGUUCAUUUAGAGGAAUCUGUUUAAUAAUUGAUAAUCCACGAAUAAAUUUACUUAAUUUAAAAUUUUGUAUAUCGUUGUUAAAGAAAUAUUUUUUAAUAAAAUUAAUAUUUAAUAAUUAUAAUAUAAAUUUAAAUCAGAUCAAGAUGCAGAUUAUAAUUAAGAAUAUAAUGGAUUACAAUAAUUUUAUUUAAAUGAAUAUUAAUUUGUAAAAAUUAAUUGAAAGUGGAUUUAAAUGUAAUUUUAUUUAAUUUAUUAAAAUGAUUAUAAAUUAAAAUAUGUACAUAUUGCCCGUCGCUUUCAUAUAAAAAUAAAUUGGAAUAAGUCGUAACAAAGUAGAGGUACUGGAAAGUGUUUCUAGAAAGAA
RNAcentral lists this non-coding RNA (735 nucleotides) under Melanchra persicariae. The record is from RNAcentral. Lineage: Eukaryota; Metazoa; Arthropoda; Insecta; Lepidoptera; Noctuidae.